UGGGGAAUAUUGGACAAUGGGCGCAAGCCUGAUCCAGCAAUGCCGCGUGAGUGAUGAAGGCCUUAGGGUUGUAAAGCUCUUUUACCCGGGAUGAUAAUGACAGUACCGGGAGAAUAAGCUCCGGCUAACUCCGUGCCAGCAGCCGCGGUAAUACGGAGGGAGCUAGCGUUGUUCGGAAUUACUGGGCGUAAAGCGCACGUAGGCGGCUUUGUAAGUUAGAGGUGAAAGCCUGGAGCUCAACUCCAGAAUUGCCUUUGAUACUGCAUGGCUUGAAUCCAGGAGAGGUGAGUGGAAUUCCGAGUGUAGAGGUGAAAUUCGUAGAUAUUCGGAAGAACACCAGUGGCGAAGGCGGCUCACUGGACUGGUAUUGACGCUGAGGUGCGAAAGCGUGGGGAGCAAACAGG
RNAcentral lists this ribosomal RNA (404 nucleotides) under uncultured bacterium. RNAcentral describes it as "bacterial SSU rRNA". It matches the Rfam family "Bacterial small subunit ribosomal RNA", at positions 355 to 776 of the family's 1533-position model. The record is from RNAcentral.